RNAcentral lists this ribosomal RNA (188 nucleotides) under uncultured bacterium. Its description in RNAcentral is "partial 16S ribosomal RNA". It matches the Rfam family "Bacterial small subunit ribosomal RNA", at positions 1302 to 1500 of the family's 1533-position model. The record is from RNAcentral.
AGUCUGCAACUCGACUACAUGAAGCUGGAAUCGCUAGUAAUCGCGAAUCAGAAUGUCGCGGUGAAUGCGUUCCCGGGUCUUGUACACACCGCCCGUCACACCAUGGAAGUUGGGGGUGCCCAAGCCGGCAAGCAAAUAUGCUGUCUAAGGCAAAACCAAUGACUGGGGUGAAGUCGUAACAAGGUAAC